GUGGGGACAGACGCGCAAGCGCAGAGGACGCUGGGAAAGCAGCUCCCUCCCAGCGAAGGAGGUUGGUGGGCGGAGCUACGGAGGCCGAGAGGGACCGUUGCUGAGGCGGAGAACCAGGCGCGGAGAAUGAAGUAAAAGAAGGGAACGUGGCGGCGAAGGGAAGGCUGGAGCCCAAUUUGGCGCUUGGGGGUCACCGCCGCAGGAGGAACGGUGUCGAACGACAUCAGGAAGGCUGAGAACCGAACUGUUCUAGCGGGUCCCUUUCUCUCCUUUGGGGGAAAAUCCACGAGGCGGUGCCUGGAGAGGAGAAGGCGGGGCUUCGCAGGAAGGAGGGGCUGGUAUAUGGAGCGCCUUCACUUUCGGAACCAGAGAGCUGACGGAGGGAGCGGUUCGCUUCGGAGGCGGAGAAACCGGAAGAGGACGGAGGAGCCCGGCGGGGGAGGGAAGCGCCGCCCGAGAGGAGGAGGAGGAGAGCGGGCCCCGCGGAGGAGCCCCGGGAGACGGCGGGGAAAGGCCGGGGGGCUCCGGAGCUGCAGGAGGGAUGAGCCCAGGGGGAGCCCGGGAAAGGCGGCUGCCUGGAGGGCGAUGCGGGGAGGAGGAAACGGGCGGAGACGCCGAGACGGGCCUGGAGGGCGGUGGGUCCUUCGGAAGACCCCGGAAUCCCCAAAGGAUCCAGGAGGAAGAAGAGAGAUAUCAGUGCCCGGAAUGUGAAAAAUUCUUCAAGAGAAAUGUGUAUCU
This is a long non-coding RNA of Thamnophis elegans (Western terrestrial garter snake), 738 nucleotides long. RefSeq lists it as uncharacterized. The record is from RefSeq and is a predicted model, not a curated record. Lineage: Eukaryota; Metazoa; Chordata; Lepidosauria; Squamata; Natricidae. The transcript is spliced from 2 exons.